This 315-nucleotide long non-coding RNA is filed under the name Prunus dulcis (almond). Lineage: Eukaryota; Viridiplantae; Streptophyta; Magnoliopsida; Rosales; Rosaceae. The record is from RNAcentral.
AUGGCUGACAACUCUCAGAAGAUGAGCUACCACGCUGGAGAGGCCAAGGGCCAAGCUCAGGUAAUUAGCUCACCUGUAAAUUGUAAUUCUCAAUUUGCUUUUGCUUCUUUCUUCUGUUUCCUUUUAGAUUGAUGUGGGAUGUUUUGUAUUGGAUAAUUUUGGAUUUAACAGGAGAAGGCCGGUGGGAUGAUGGAUAAGGCUAACAAUGCAGCCCAGUCUACCAAGGAGACAAUGCAAGAUGUUGGUCAGAAUGUGCAGGCGAAGGCUCAAGGAGCUGCUGACGCAGUCAAGAAUGCCACUGGCAUGAACAAAUGA